This 562-nucleotide long non-coding RNA is filed under the name Lactuca sativa (garden lettuce). Its description in RNAcentral is "long non-coding RNA (LSAT_LNC005618)". Lineage: Eukaryota; Viridiplantae; Streptophyta; Magnoliopsida; Asterales; Asteraceae. The record is from RNAcentral.
ACAACAAAUAAUGAGUAAUCAAUAUGGUGAUUAAAUAAAAUGUUUUAUUUAUACCCAGAGUUUGUGGCCAUAUGGGAUUAGUAUUAUUCUUGUGUUUCACUUUGCAUGUUUUGACUUCCUGAAUAAUUAAAUUGGUUCAGAACAAUCAAAUUAUUCGAACGGACCACAGUCGUUCAUAUGUUGGAAGUAGGUANUAAAAGACCACAAUCGUUCAUAUGUUGGAAGUAGGUAUGAAUGAAUACUAUCGUGAAUUGGUGUGUGGAUUGUCUAAAGUGUAUUAGACAUAAGCAAAUGUUUGCUGCAACGUUCAUGAGUGCUUAUGAAUAUGAUUUGAGCAUUGGAUCAAGCCCACACUCACUUGAAUCACUUCGUGGAUUUUAUCACGAGUGAUUGGUGAGACGAUAACAUCUUAUAUUCUUGAAACCGAGAUGUGUGAGUUGUAUCUUGCGAGUCGAUUACACAUUGAUAAUAUGUAAACGCACCAGUAACUUGGUGUCAUAAAACAUAUUGUUGUGUGUGAUUUGGUGAGUGAGUGCAAGCAAGCAUUGAAUCAAAGUUUAUC